UGGCGGCGUGCCUAUCAUGNCAGUCGAGCGACCACUUCGGUGGUGAGCGGCGAACGGGUGAGUAACACGUAGGUGAUCUGCCCAUCAGACGGGGACAACGAUUGGAAACGAUCGCUAAUACCGGAUAGGACGAAAGUUUAAAGGUGCUCCUGGCACCGCUGAUGGAUGAGCCUGCGGCGCAUUAGCUAGUUGGUAGGGUAAAGGCCUACCAAGGCGACGAUGCGUAGCCGACCUGAGAGGGAACGGCCACACUGGGACUGAGACACGGCCCAGACUCCUACGGGAGGCAGCAGUAGGGAAUCUUCGGCAAUGGGCGAAAGCCUGACCGAGCAACGCCGCGUGAAUGAUGAAGGCCUUCGGGUUGUAAAAUUCUGUUAUAAGGGAAGAACGACUUUAGUAGGAAAUGGCUAAAGUGUGACGGUACCUUAUGAGAAAGCCACGGCUAACUACGUGCCAGCAGCCGCGGUAAU
RNAcentral lists this ribosomal RNA (470 nucleotides) under uncultured bacterium. Its description in RNAcentral is "bacterial SSU rRNA". It matches the Rfam family "Bacterial small subunit ribosomal RNA", at positions 37 to 524 of the family's 1533-position model. The record is from RNAcentral.